GGGGACGUAGCUCAGUUGGGAGAGCGUCGCGUUCGCAAUGCGAAAGUCGUGGGUUCGAGUCCCAUCGUCUCCA
RNAcentral lists this transfer RNA (73 nucleotides) under Planctomycetota bacterium. RNAcentral's name for it is "tRNA-Ala". It matches the Rfam family "tRNA". Rfam says of the family: Transfer RNA (tRNA) molecules are approximately 80 nucleotides in length. Their secondary structure includes four short double-helical elements and three loops (D, anti-codon, and T loops). RNAcentral also lists the same sequence under 1 other name. The record is from RNAcentral. Lineage: Bacteria; Pseudomonadati; Planctomycetota.